RNAcentral lists this long non-coding RNA (927 nucleotides) under Olea europaea subsp. europaea. Lineage: Eukaryota; Viridiplantae; Streptophyta; Magnoliopsida; Lamiales; Oleaceae. The record is from RNAcentral.
AAAAUCAAAAAUCAAACCAACCCAUUUCCCCCAAAUUCGACCCAAGCUUCCAACCCAUUUCCUCCCUCCCAAAGCACCAACCUCUAGUAGCCUACUAACCUCUGGGCCGCUCAGCUCUGGCAUACUCCGCACCUCCGGCGACAUCCCCAUCUCCGGCAGUCGCACAAUACCUUCGUACGGUUGGCAAAGCAGUAUCCAGGAAAAAACUCGAUGGACAAAUUUAGUUCUAUUAUCAUUUACUUCUUUGGUUUGUUAGAAAUUAAGUGUUUAUUUUUUUAAUUUUGACAUUUCGUAUUCGUACGAGGGCAACCCCCAACUCCACCCCACACAUUUGUGCACUAUGCCCCCAAAAUGGCUCUUCUUUCAUAUGCUUGGGAUGUCCCUUUUUCGGCAUUAAUGAAAAGAAGAGUUUUAAUGAGAAAAUGAUCAGGGAGUUCGUUAGCUUAAAAUUGUCUGUGCGUUCACUCUUACGUUGUUCGAAUGCAUUUUAGCAAGUUUCCUUGUGGGAUGUUAUUAUACCUACUAAAGAACAUGCAAUAUUUUGGAUUCGUACAACAAACAAAUAUCAUUUUAUUGACCAAGUAAGUGAUUGUUGUGGAGCACUUUUGCAUGUUUUUCAAGGUUUUCUCAUGAAUCUUUGUUUUUUUCUCUUCUACAUCAUUACAGGGAAGCACAUCAUUACAGGGAAGCAAUCUGCGGGUUAAAGACUUCAACUUAACAUUGCAUUGGCAUGUCAUGCCAAAGGCAGGCAAGAUGUUUGUUGACAAAAUAGCGAUGACUAGCUUCCGCUUGCCUGAGACAUAUAGAUGACAAUGUACCCUGUAUGACAUUUGAUGAAUUAAACCAUGCAAAAGAAAUUAGUCAUUUACCUUUAGAACUUGAACCAGAAGUUUCUACUUCAUGUACUUGCUAAUACAUACGUAGUUU